Long non-coding RNA from Ctenopharyngodon idella (grass carp), 1678 nucleotides. RefSeq lists it as uncharacterized. The transcript is spliced from 3 exons. Lineage: Eukaryota; Metazoa; Chordata; Actinopteri; Cypriniformes; Xenocyprididae. The record is from RefSeq and is a predicted model, not a curated record.
GAGUGUGUAUGUGAAGUUUUAGCUCAAAAUACCCCACAGAUCAUUUUUAUAGCAUGUUAAAUUUGUCACUUUUUGAGGGUGAGCAAAAACGCUCCGUUUUUGUGUGUCCCUUUAAAUGCAAAUGAGCUGCUGCUUCUAAGCAGAGGGUGGGGUUUCAAGAGCUUGUGUUAGCACAUAGUGUUAGCAGCACCGAUUACCUCAUGAAAACUAACUGAAAAUGUCAAAAACUGUACAGCCGUGUAUGUUCAAAACGAAGCCGGACAAUGAGGGAGAGACUCAAGCAGAAGUGACAACAUGCAGAAUGCAACAGGACGUUUCUGAAUGGUCUGGUGGAGAUGGCAGCGCAUGGGGUAGAAGUGAUGAAAGAGGAGAGAGAGCUCUCUGAGAUCUGGGCAGUUCAGUCAGCAUCUCAGCAGGCCUUAUGGAGACUAUUGAGGACUGCACUGGCUUUUUAGGUCCCUUUGAACAGACUCCUCCGGAUCUCAUGAUUUAUGUAUGAGGCUGAGGCGUGAUUCAUCUUGGCAUGGGGAGAGAAGUUGUCCUUUGUCUUCUGCUCUGUUGGCCAGUAAGAGGUUUCCUGAGGUCUGGAGAAGGGUCUUAGAGUUCUUCUGGACUCAAAUAGAAGUGUGUGUGUGUGUGUGCAUGUGCAUGUGUGUGUAUGUGUGAAAGAUAGAGAAGUGAGACUCUUUCUGGAGGUGUGGGAGUUUGCCCCACAGUUAUUACCCAACUGGAACUGCUUCAGUAUGGUGUUAGAGCCAGAUUGCGACAGACACACCAUGUAAACAAAUAAACAAACAACCCAUACUGUCAGAUACGCAGCAAGGAGGCUUAAUCUUAUUAUUGCUUAAACAGGACCCCGGUGGGAAAUAUAAAGAUCUAACUAAUCUAAAAAAUUGGAAUCCACUCACAUUACAAUGUUGUGAAUGUAACAUAAAUAUAAGAAUAAUUAAAGUGGUUGUCCCAGAUUUUUCCCGACCAGACAGGCUAUUAACGUGGGUGACACAUUGGAGAUAACAUAAGGUAGUUAAUUGAAAAAAAAAGAUUAGCAUGAAAUCCUAAAUGAAUAGCAAGUCUUUGACAAGAAGUAGUUUUAGUAAUAUGAAAUAUGUGAAAGGUAUGAAUAAAUGCAGUUUAUUUUGUUUUAUUUUAUUUUAUAAAAAUAUAGAUAUGAAUCUUAUGUAAUUUGUUUGAACAGAUUAUUAGUUUUUGAUUUGUAUUUAUGUAAUUAUGUAUACUAAUGACAAUUUUAUGCAUUGCAUGUAUAUGUAUCUAUUUACACUGCUGUAUAAAAUAUAUAAUUGUACAAAUAUAACGCUAAUAUCCCAUAACAAUUUUAUUGCUCCUUUUUUUUUUUUUUGCUUAGGAAAUUUAACUAAGAAUUAAAUAUGAAUUUUGAUGAUAAAUUAGACAAUUGUUGACAUUCAUUAUGAGAAGUGCUGGGUAGUAACUUAUUACUUGUAAUCCUGAUUAUGUAAUCGGAUUCCAAAAAUGUUGUACUUGUAAUUAUAUUAUAUUAUGUUUUUAAAUUUUAUGCAAGUUACUAAACACUGCUAUACUGUAUACUGUAUAUACUGUAGCUGUAAAACACUAUUCAAUUAACUAUUUAAUUAACUACACGUUCAUUUUAUAAUAAUUGAACAACACAUGUUCACAGUUGAUAUGGGUUCACACAUUGACA